UACGAAGGGGGCUAGCGUUGCUCGGAAUUACUGGGCGUAAAGGGCGCGUAGGCGGACAUUUAAGUCAGAGGUGAAAGCCCAGGGCUCAACCUUGGAAUUGCCUUUGAUACUGGAUGUCUUGAGUUCGGGAGAGGUGAGUGGAAUGCCGAGUGUAGAGGUGAAAUUCGUAGAUAUUCGCAAGAACACCAGUGGCGAAGGCGGCUCACUGGCCCGAUACUGACGCUGAGGCACGAAAGCGUGGGGAGCAAACAGG
Molecule: ribosomal RNA, 253 nt
Filed under: uncultured bacterium
Lineage: Bacteria
Description: partial 16S ribosomal RNA
Rfam family: Bacterial small subunit ribosomal RNA
Source: RNAcentral